GACGAACGCUGGCGGCGUGCCUAAUACAUGCAAGUCGAACGCACAGUUUAUACCGUAGCUUGCUACACCAUAGACUGUGAGUUGCGAACGGGUGAGUAACGCGUAGGUAACCUGCCUGGUAGCGGGGGAUAACUAUUGGAAACGAUAGCUAAUACCGCAUAAUAUUAAUUAUUGCAUGAUAAUUAAUUGAAAGGUGCAAUUGCACCACUACCAGAUGGACCUGCGUUGUAUUAGCUAGUAGGUGAGGUAACGGCUCACCUAGGCGACGGUACAUAGCCGACCUGAGAGGGUGAUCGGCCACACUGGGACUGAGACACGGCCCAGACUCCUACGGGAGGCAGCAGUAGGGAAUCUUCGGCAAUGGACGAAAGUCUGACCGAGCAACGCCGCGUGAGUGAAGAAGGUUUUCGGAUCGUAAAGCUCUGUUGUAAGAGAAGAACGGGUGUGAGAGUGGAAAGUUCACACUGUGACGGUAUCUUACCAGAAAGGGACGGCUAACUACGUG
RNAcentral lists this ribosomal RNA (505 nucleotides) under uncultured bacterium. RNAcentral's name for it is "partial 16S ribosomal RNA". It matches the Rfam family "Bacterial small subunit ribosomal RNA", at positions 28 to 507 of the family's 1533-position model. The record is from RNAcentral.